GGGAUAAGUGCUGAAAGCAUCUAAGCAUGAAGCCCCCCUCAAGAUGAGAUUUCCCAUUCCGCAAGGAAGUAAGAUCCCUGAAAGAUGAUCAGGUUGAUAGGUCUGAGGUGGAAGCGUGGUGACACGUGGAGCUGACAGAUACUAAUAGAUCGAGGACUUAACCUAUA
RNAcentral lists this ribosomal RNA (167 nucleotides) under Bacillus pumilus. RNAcentral's name for it is "partial 23S ribosomal RNA". It matches the Rfam family "Bacterial large subunit ribosomal RNA", at positions 2761 to 2925 of the family's 2925-position model. RNAcentral also lists the same sequence under 1 other name. Lineage: Bacteria; Bacillati; Bacillota; Bacilli; Caryophanales; Bacillaceae. The record is from RNAcentral.